AGUCGAACGAGAACGGUUCCUUCGGGGACUUAGUAAAGUGGCGCACGGGUGAGUAACGCGUAGAUAACCUGUCCAGGUGNAUGGGAUAGCCCUUCGAAAGGGGGAUUAAUACCGUAUACGUUAAUCAUUCAUAAGGGUGAUUAAGAAAGGUGGCCUCUAUUUAUAAGCUAUCGCAUUUGGAGGGGUCUGCGUACCAUUAGUUUGUUGGUGGGGUAAUGGCCUACCAAGACUUCGAUGGUUAGCGGGUCUGAGAGGAUGAUCCGUCACACUGGCACUGAAACACGGGCCAGACUCCUACGGGAGGCAGCAGUGAGGAAUAUUGCGCAAUGGGGGAAACCCUGACGCAGCGACGCCGCGUGGGUGAGGAAGGCUUUCGGGUCGUAAAGCCCUGUCAGGUGGGAAGAAGUGUGUAGUGGUUAAUACCCAUUGCAUUUGACGGUACCACCAAAGGAAGCACCGGCUAACUCCGUGCCAGCAGCCGCGGUAAUACGGAGGGUGCAAACGUUGUUCGGAAUCACUGGGCGUAAAGGGCGCGCAGGCGGUUUGAUUAGUCAGAUGUGAAAGCCCACGGCUUAACCGUGGAAGUGCAUUUGAAACUGUCAGACUUGAGUACCAGAGGGGGUAGUGGAAUUCCCGGUGUAGAGGUGAAAUUCGUAGAUAUCGGGAGGAAUACCGGUGGCGAAGGCGACUACCUGGCUGGAUACUGACGCUGAGGCGCGAAAGCGUGGGGAGCAAACAGGAUUAGAUACCCUGGUAGUCCACGCCGUAAACGAUGUCAACUAGGUGUAGGGGGUGUUGAUCCCCUCUGUGCCGGAGCUAACGCAUUAAGUUGACCGCCUGGGGAGUACGGUCGCAAGAUUAAAACUCAAAGGAAUAGACGGGGACCCGCACAAGCGGUGGAGCAUGUGGUUUAAUUCGACGAUACGCGAAGAACCUUACCUGGACUUGACAUCCUAUAAAUGAUUUAGAGAUAAGUUAGUGCUAGUUUACUAGAAUAUAGUGACAGGUGCUGCACGGCUGUCGUCAGCUCGUGUCGUGAGAUGUUGGGUUAAGUCCCGCAACGAGCGCAACCCUCGUCGUUAGUUGCUAACAGUUCGGCUGAGCACUCUAACGAGACUGCCUUCGUAAGGAGGAGGAAGGUGAGGACGACGUCAAGUCAUCAUGGCCCUUAUGUCCAGGGCUACACACGUGCUACAAUGGUUGGGACAAUGAGACGCAAUACCGCGAGGUGGAGCAAAUCUAUAAACCCAAUCUCAGUUCGGAUAGCACUCUGCAACUCGAGUGCUUGAAGCUGGAAUCGCUAGUAAUNGUAGAUCAGCAAUGCUACGGUGAAUACGUUCCCGGGUCUUGUACUCACCGCCCGUCACACCAUGGGAAUUUAGUUCACCCGAAGUCGGAAUGCC
Molecule: ribosomal RNA, 1403 nt
Filed under: uncultured delta proteobacterium
Lineage: Bacteria; Deltaproteobacteria
Description: bacterial SSU rRNA
Rfam family: Bacterial small subunit ribosomal RNA
Source: RNAcentral